This 460-nucleotide ribosomal RNA is filed under the name uncultured bacterium. Its description in RNAcentral is "partial 16S ribosomal RNA". It matches the Rfam family "Bacterial small subunit ribosomal RNA", at positions 29 to 523 of the family's 1533-position model. The record is from RNAcentral.
AACGAACGCUGGUGGUAUGCUUAACACACGCAAGUCGAACGGGCAUAGCAAUAUGUCAGUGGCAAACGGGUGAGUAAUGUAUAGGAAUCUACCUAGCAGUAAGGAAUAACCCUGGGAAACCAGGGCUAAUGCCAUAUAUUACCGGUUAGCAAUAACCGGGAAAGAUUUAUCGCUGUUAGAUGAGCCUGUAUCAGAUUAGCUAGUUGGUGGGGUAAUAGCCUACCAAGGCAAUGAUCUGUAGCUGGUCUGAGAGGAUGAUCAGCCACACUGGAACUGCGACACGGUCCAGACUCCUACGGGAGGCAGCAGUGGGGAAUAUUGGACAAUGGGCGCAAGCCUGAUCCAGCAAUACCACGUGAGUGAUGAAGGCCUUCGGGUUGUAAAACUCUUUUAGUAGGGAAGAUAAUGACUGUACCUACAGAAAAAGCACCGGCUAACUUCGUGCCAGCAGCCGCCGCCG